This is a long non-coding RNA of Clupea harengus (Atlantic herring), 2587 nucleotides long. The record is from Ensembl. Lineage: Eukaryota; Metazoa; Chordata; Actinopteri; Clupeiformes; Clupeidae.
UAAGGCUGCAUGUAGUCUAGGCAACAUUAGUCGAAUCUCACAGUGGUUUAUGGAUUUGUCUCGCUGUAGCCUGCUGUGAAUUAAGCACUAAGCAAACCACUGGCAGUUCAUGCCAUGGCCUACGACGGUGGCAUCAGGUGUAAAAGGUCAAUCUGUAGGCCCUCGGGUAAACUAAGACUUUAAAUAGCUUUUCAUAGUAUGUCAUUUCUCUCACACCUUAGAAUGAUUAAGUUAUUAUUUAGGGAUAACUAUAUUUAAAAGCUCACCAGAAAAACACACUUCUUUGCAUUGUCGCUACCUCCAAGAACUUUAACGUUACCAAUUUCUUAGAAGUUAAAUUAACGUCAUACUUCCAAGUAGGGUCCUUCAAACCCGUGAAUAAGGUUCUUGCGUAUGUCUGCUGUCUCGCAAGACCAAAUUCCUAGUUGGUUGUCUUGUACAUUUAUGGGAAUUAUACAUUCACUUUCCAAAUGAUUUUUCCUUUCCCAGAAAUCCACAUGGUUUCGUUUUGACUGAAGUAGACUAAAUACACUUAAUAGCUCCGGGAGAUUCCCGUCGGAGAGUCUAUUAAACCAAGCAACCAGAGACAGUCGCCGGUUCGUGCCUUUCCGAAGCUGCAAGUUGUUCUGGUGGCUGUGCCUAAAUCUAUACUUAUAUUUCCCGCCACUUUUGCUGCCCUGCCCUGCCCUGACCCUCCUUGACCCCCACUGGGGACAAAGGCUGCCUCUGGAGAAGAUGAUGUCCUGAUAGGCUGACAAAGGCUCCCUCUGGAGAAGAUGAGGUCCUGAUCCAAAGCUGUCUGGACUAGACGUGGUCCAUGGUCAACAGACAUCAAACAUCAAACAUCAGAGAAUGUUCAAUAAUAAUAAAGCAACUAACUCAGGCUCUUGAGUUAGUUAGUUUUGUUAGUUAAUUAGUUUAUUCGUAAGUUACUUUAUUAGUCAAUGUGUUUGUUUGUUAGUUAGUUAGUCUAUUAGUUAGUUUAGUUUGUUAGUUACAUGUAAAAGUUCGUUUAUUCGUUUAUUAGGUUUGAUAUCGUUUUAGUUUUGUUAGUUAAUCUAGGGUUAGGGUUACUAACUCUUGGGUUGUAGAUUUGUCUGUUUAUCAGUAACCUUCAGGCAUCCUCAAACAUGAGCUUGUCUGUUUAUCAGUAAGCUUUAGGCAUCCUCAAACAUGAGCUUGCUUUGGGUGACUAGUAUGCAUGGUGACUUUUCAAGUUUGUGUCACCUGAUCUCUGUAAAAUGAUUAACAAUGAACAAUUAAAGUAAGCCAUGAAAAAGCCAUGUAAUUCUGCAGUGAUAUGUACUUCAUAAAGAUAGCCCCAACAGUAGUCUCCCAGGCAUACUGUACAUACUAAAAAACAAAGAAAACAGCUUUUAUUUUAUUGUAUUUGUUAUGUUUUGCUGUUUCUGGUAUGCACUGUAACAAGGGGCACCAGUUUAUUCAUAUUUAUUUCAAGUCUUGCUAGCAACCCUUACACGUCACUUAACACAAUCAGGUUAUGCAGACUGAAAAUAAUAAAAACGGGAAAGAGCAUCUUUUGUAAGUGUGUGAGAUUGCAUAAUUGUAUACAUUCUGGGAAGGUACAGUUAAGCAGUGGGUCAUUUAAUAGAGCAGAACGAUGGCGAUGGAAGGAAGCCAUUGAAGGCAGAGGAAAAGGGAGACUGACGGAGACUAGUUCAGUACAAUACUGAUGCGUGUGUGGUGCCUGCUAUCCGCAAACAACACUUUGUAGGACAUUUUGGUAAAAGGAAUGUAGGUCAUGCUUUGGGGCACUGACUGAUUCAUUUAGGCCUAUGCUUUCCUUCCAGCAGUGUCAUCAGAAAACCUGAGUCCUUUAAAAAUAAAUGUCUGAACACUGCAGAAUUAGUUUUAAAUGCUGUAUGGUUGAGUCGGGGCACGAUUCUCUAGACUCGUCGGCCCUUUUAUGAAAAGACUUGCAGUAGGCACCAGAUCUAGUGGUGUGAAAACUUUGACCCAAACCAAUUAGAAAGACGCCCCAACAAAAUAGAGGAGAUGAGGCCUUGCACUCUUAGACACACAUGGCUGAACACAGCUGUGAUAAUCAUUCCUUAUUGAGUAACUUUGUAUGUGUUUGGUAUAGGACAAGAGGCUUGGAAAUGGUGUGAAGGCCUAAGUGUGUUUUAUAUGACAUAGAUUGACACAGCGCUGAAGAACGCUGUGUUAAACAUUCUGUUACGGCCACAUGUGUGUUGUGUUCUUGUUUACCACUUCCUUCCCUUUCUGUAGCUCCGCCCAGGUUGUGGUACACCUGAUUGCCAGAUGAGAUGCACCUGGUCAGGUGAUUAAGCAGCAGUUAAAGACUCCAGUUUCCUGCUGCGGAAGAAGAGGCUUCUAGCGUGUGGACUGCUGCCUCUCAGCCUCUCAGCCUCUCAGCCUCUCAGCCUCUCAGCCUCUCAGCCUGUGAUUUUGUUGUGUAGUUAUGUUUUGAUAUGGUUUCUAGAGUUGUUGUGUAUUUGUUUAUAUUAAUAAAUCCUUUGGAUUUGGUGCUUUUAAAAAGGUGUUUCUAGUAGUUGAUUUGGGUCAGUGGUGGAGUGUUGUUCGCCCCAUAAAGCUACCAAAGGUU